RNAcentral lists this ribosomal RNA (651 nucleotides) under uncultured prasinophyte. Its description in RNAcentral is "SSU rRNA". It matches the Rfam family "Eukaryotic small subunit ribosomal RNA", at positions 617 to 1281 of the family's 1831-position model. Lineage: Eukaryota; Viridiplantae; Chlorophyta. The record is from RNAcentral.
AGUUAAAGCUCGUAGUUGGAUUUUGGUUAAGAGGGCGCGGUCGGCCGUUUGGUCUGUACUGCGUUGUCUUGACUUCCUGAUGAGGACAUGCUCUUGGUUAACGCUGAGACAUGGAGUCAUCGUGGUUACUUUGAAAAAAUUAGAGUGUUCAAAGCGGGCUUACGCUUGAAUAUAUUAGCAUGGAAUAACACUAUAGGACUCCUGCCCUAUCUCGUUGGUCUCGGGAUGGGAGUAAUGAUUAAGAGGAACAGUUGGGGGCAUUCGUAUUUCAUUGUCAGAGGUGAAAUUCUUGGAUUUAUGAAAGACGAACUUCUGCGAAAGCAUUUGCCAAGGAUGUUUUCAUUAAUCAAGAACGAAAGUUGGGGGCUCGAAGAUGAUUAGAUACCAUCCUAGUCUCAACCAUAAACGAUGCCGACUAGGGAUUGGUGGAUGUUAAUUGAUGACUUCACCAGCACCUUAUGAGAAAUCAAAGUUUUUGGGUUCCGGGGGGAGUAUGGUCGCAAGGCUGAAACUUAAAGGAAUUGACGGAAGGGCACCACCAGGCGUGGAGCCUGCGGCUUAAUUUGACUCAACACGGGGAAACUUACCAGGUCCAGACAUAAGUAUGAUUGACAGAUUGAGAGCUCUUUCUUGAUUCUAUGGGUGGGGGGU